Molecule: long non-coding RNA, 6295 nt
Organism: Erinaceus europaeus (western European hedgehog)
Lineage: Eukaryota; Metazoa; Chordata; Mammalia; Eulipotyphla; Erinaceidae
Exons: 4
Source: RefSeq, a predicted model, not a curated record
GGGAUAAAGAACAAGAAAGCUUUCAAGGGAGGGAAUGGGACAUGGAGCUCUGGUGGUGAGAACUGUGUGGAAUUGUACCCCUCUUAUCCUAUGGUUUUGUCAACAUUUCCAUUUUAUAAAUAAUUUUUUAAAUGUAUCAACUAUAAAAAAAAAAAAAAGAAAAGAAAAAUGCAUGACCUGUCAACAAGGUAACAUAGACCUACCUGGUUAGAAAAGGAGAAAGGUCCAGGUUUCACUUGGUAGAGCACAGACUUGACCAUGUAUUAAGACCUAAGACCCCAACACCACUUGGAAGCACCAUGCAUGGCACCAGGGGAAGCUCCAUGAAUUGAAUUGUAGAGUGGUACUGUGGUGACUCUUUUCUCUUUCUGUCUGAGAUUGAAGAAGAAAGGGGAGAAAGAAGAGGAGGAAGAAGAGGAAAAGAGGAAGAAAAGAAGAUCAUCAUCUUGGACCAGUGGAAUCCUGUAGGCUACAAAAAAAAGAAGAAGAAGAAAAAGAAGAGAAGGGGGAGAAAAAAGAAAGAAAAUCUCUCAACAGCUCUCAACACCCCGAGGCUGAGGGUCUGCCUACCCAGGACCUACCUCAUGACCACUGUGAGUUGCCCAAGAGACUUCUCCCAGGGAAAAUGGUAGCCGCCACCACCAAAACCGCCUUCUACGCUUUGGAAGAAAGUGCUUACAGACCCAAGUUGCAUGGAGGCAAGACAAAGAGUAAACAGAAGAGUCCAGGACCUCUGUCCAAACACCAGGGAACCCAAAGGACACAGAGCCAAAGGUCCACUGAAUAUUGAUCCACUUGGCAGCCAUGGGGCAGGCAAGAGGAAGAUCUGGUACCUUCUUGAAGAUGCUUCCUUCACCGAUUAAUAGCUGUCCCAUGGAGCUGCCGCUAGAAGCAUUUCAAACAGAGCAUUUCACCACAAUAAGCCAGGUCAUCCUUCCUUUCCCACCAGGACCUGCCUCUCUGAGUUUUCUAGUACAGAUUUUGCAAAGAAAAAAAAAUGGAGCAGAAGGCCUUUGUUCUCCCUGACCUCUGUAGUUCUCAUCUCCAUCAGAAAAGAAUAAUGUUGUAGCAAAAAACAAACAAACAAACAAACAAACAAAAAAAGCCAGCAGUCUAGGAAGGGAGAUUAUUUCAACUAGUGAGUUCAGAGGAAAGAAGACAUAGGACUUCUUUUGAAGCCCACAAAAAAUUGGAACCCCAGAGGUAUUUAUUCUGAACCUCUUCAUGGUGUCUGUAUGUACUUCAGUGUAAGGGACCAAAAUAAAUAACAUCUUGGCUUUGCCCUUAAUGGACUUAUAAGCCCCAAACCUUGGUUUCUUAAAGUGAAGCCAACUUUACUGAAGACUCAAACAGAAUCUAUGAGUUUGCUUAUUGAGAGAAAGGGGCAUUUUGCCAUCUAAAGUUUUGAGAGGUUAAUAAAGAUAUGGGAGAAGGUUCUCUGGUUGUCUAACCCCCAAAAGAAGGUAUGUAGUUCAGGGCAGGGGAGAGAGUAUAAUAGUUAUGAAAAAAAAAAAAAAAACCUUUUACAUGUGAGGCUCUGAGGUCCCAUGUUCAAUCCCCAGCACCACCAUAAACCAGAGCUGAGCAGUGCUCUGAUAAAAAUGAUGAUGAUCACAAUGCUGGAAAAGGAGGCAUACAGUUCAUCAAAGAUGGAAAUGGUGUCUUGGGUGCAUUCUGGGUGUUUCAUAAUAAGUACAGCAAUGUCCCCAAGCCCCUUAAUCCCCAAUGAGAAUCCUACAUUCACUCUAAAACCCCUCUCUCAUCAUUGUAAAAAUGGGAAGCUUAAAGGUUUCAUGAGCCAGGCAGAUAACACAAAACCAGGAACAGUGGAGCAACUCUGUACAUUUUAAAAAGCAUUGAUGUGCAGAAACCAAGGCGUUAUCUUGGCUUUCUCAGCCGCAGUCUGCAGAUCUGGUAUGGAGAGCCUGCUUCACGCUUCACCCUUUUCACCUGCGUGAGUCUGAGCACGUUAUUUACAUCCUUGCAGCUUUGAUUCCUCGGCUGUGAGAGAUAACACUACCCAGCCAACACAUAUCACCAGGUGGUUGUGAUAAUUGAAUUAGUCAAUAGUUAUCAAAGCCUCUAAAAACUAUAACUCAUCACUAAAAAUGCAAACAACACAACCCAUACCGAGUCUUCCUUAUCUCAGAAGGCUUAAUCAUGUUCUGUCUCUCUCAGAACUCAGGGACAUGCAUUCCAAUCGACUUUCCAGAAUUCCACUGAUAAUAUUUGUUGGGAAAAGUACUCCUUCCCCCACCCGCUGCCCUAACUUAUUAAGAGUAUGGCUUAUAUGAUUAUUAACUUGCUGCCCUGUGGCAAAUCAAAUCAACAAAUAUUUACUAGCUUCUGUGUCUUGCCUUGGGGGGGGGUGAAUUCACUUUCUGCAUCAAAGGAGCAAAUUGGCCAGCUGUACAUGGAACAAUUUUCAUGGAGUCUAGAAGAAGAAAGAAAAAAAAACUGUCUGGGCUCUCUAGAUGGUCCCAAUACACCUGAAGAUUUAGUUCAAAUACAAGAAACAGCUGGCAUUCAUGAUUUAAGGCUAAACCCAAAGAGUUGAGUAAAUUUAUUUUACAAGCUGUUUCAUUUGGCAAAGUUCCAGAAGUCAUCAAGCAGAGAUACGGAUGAUGAUGACGACAAUGAUGAAAAUGAGUCGUCAUAGUUGGACUUAAUAGAGUGACAUAAAAGAAGUGUCAUCUACAUGGGACAUUCCAGAGCUGGGACAUACCAUCACCCACACCCAUCCCCUGCCAAAAAAAAAAAAAAAAAAGACUUAAGAGAAAGGCCUUCUUCUUGGUGCCUCUACAAAUCGAAAGUAACCCUGUAUAUUUGACACUCUUGAGUUUGGAAGCAGGGCCUGGCAAAGUGUUGGUAAUGACUUAUAUUAGCCCAAUAAAAGGGUGUAAUACAGAAAAAGAAAAGAAACGCAAUGUUUCUUUUGCCCAAAUGCUAAACAGGACUUAACAUUCAACUGGCAAUGCUCUGUGAACUGUUAAGAUCUUUGUCAUUAAGUCUCAUGAAAAGUCUAACGAAAAUAAGGCUUCUAAUUAGAGAAAGUGCCAAUGACCUGAUUCAUAAAUGAAUUUCCACUACUUGGGGAGAAUAAUAAUUCUUAACUAACACACACUGAGUAAUUUUACUGCUGGGAAAGGUGCCGAGAAGUUAACACAUUAACUCACUGAGUUUUCUUGAUAAGCUUUUGCAAAUAUGAUGGUUAUUCUUAUUUUAUUCUUAUUUUUGUAUUGUGUCUGUGUGAUAGAAAGAAGGAAGACCAUCUACAGCUAUACCACCCUGAACACACCUGACUGCAUCUGAUCUUGGAAGCUAAGCAGGAUUAGGCCUGGUUAGUACUUAAGAUAGGAGAGAGAGGGAAGAUCAGAGCACCACUCUACCAUUUAUGAUGGUCUAUUUAUUUUUGUUUUUCUUACAUUAUGAAUUGCCAGUGAUCAAACCCAGGGUUUCACAGGCAAGGCAUGCUCUCUUCAGCCCAAGCCACUGCCCCAAUCCAUCAAGAUCCCUCCAUCCCUCCCCUCUUGCCAAGAGAGAGCAAGAGAUGGAAGCAUUGAUCUGUCAUUGUAUGCCAUGCUGAGGAUGAAAUCCAAGGUCUCAUGCAGGUCUCAACUAAGACACCUCUCUGAAUCUAUUAUUCUCCUUUUAAGAUGGUAAGGGCUAGGCAACUGUGAUAAAUUACAGUAUGGCCAAGUUCACACAACUAACCAAAGGCAUUUGGCUCUCCCAGUUGGGUCCCUCACCACCUGUAACACAGAAAUCCAAAGAGGAUGUGGACUCCCAGUCUUGAGGUAGUUUUGUGUUCAAGAUCGCAGCACAUGGGUGACAGUUAUUGGUUGUUGGAAAUGUCAUGUCAUCUCUUUCAUAUGUUUGUCUAUGCAAAAAUGCAUCAUGACAUUUUCAACAAUGCAAUAGUUCCCUCCAAAGCCACUAACUGUAUCAGUCCCUUAGUCUCUAACAUACCCAACAAAAUCUCUUUUGGCCCUGAAUAGGAUCUGGAUGUUAGGACCUUGAGCUGGCUCAAUAAAUUCCCUCCCCUAGUACUUCAAAAAAAGAAAAAUUUUUUUUUAAUUUCCCAUUAUCAGUGAGCUAUCCUUCUUGAAUCCUCAUGGUUGUUCUUAAUAAUGAAAAAUUCCAUGAAAAGUGAUUUGAUUUACAUAUAUUUCAGAAAUUUAAGUCAUGUUCCUGAAUCUUUUUCUUUUUCUUCAGGGUCUUCACUUGGAGAACAAAGCAUACUAUUUGUCUCAACCAAGAAGCAUGCUGCUCUUGAGAUUUUCCAUUCAGGAGAUGUGGAUAAUAAUGUCUAAUUCACCUAUUUCUUUUUCACAUGAUCUUGGGGAAUGCAAAAAAAAAUUACAAAGAAGAGAGCUAAGAGUAAUCUUAUAAGUUCAAGUGCCAUCUUCCCAACUUUCCCAAUCUAGAGGCCCAGCACCACCUAUCAUUCCUUACAGAAGCCAGUUCUCUUUUAUUUAUAGCCAAUCUCAUUACCCAAAUUAAAAUUUUUAAUUUAAUUGCUUACUCGAGUACUUCCUGUCUCUCCAACAAUAAUGAAAUUCCAUGUAAGAAGGGAUUCUGUCAUCUUGUCUGCCACUUGCAUUGUCAGCAUCUGAAAUUAUCCCUGGCACAGACCAGACACUCAAUAGAUGCAGAGUGAACAAUAAAGUGUGUGUGUGUGUGUGUGUGUGUGUGUGUGUGUGUGUGUGUGAAAAUCUGUAUUUUUAUAAGCAUUUUUAAAAUCAUAUUUCAGAUGCAUAAAAAUAGAUUAAUCAUAAUCCUUGUUUAAUGAGACAUGCUCACUGUUGAUUCAUUCAUGCCCCACUCUUUUAUUAUUUAUUUUGCUAUUUAACUGGGCUUUUAAAAAAUCAUGUAGGAUCUGGAAAGGUGGCUUGGCUGUAAAGCACAUGACUUGCAUCUGAGGCUCUGCACAAAAUGACAGCAUAGUGCUCUGAUCUGUCUUAUUGCUCUCCUCUCUCUCAAAAUAUACUUAAACACCAGAAAUGAUUAAAAUUUAAAACUAUGUCGCAAGUACUUGGGGAAAAAAGGACCUAAAGUAAUACAGGGUGCUUCAUUAAGCCACUGUGCCCUGACCACCCCCUUCUAGCCUUACCAUCUCCUUAUCUGAAGUAAUCAUUCAGAAUCCCAAGUUCAUUUACUGUUGUCUUGAGUUAAUUUCCCUAGAAGUAGAGCCUGAGCUAAGAUUCUUGUUUAGGUGAUUUAUUGAAGGAGUUAUCAGAAGAAGAGACAUUUGAGAAAAAGGGCAGAGCAGAGGAAAAAGCUAAGCUCAGUUGUGGAAUCAGCUGGAGACUGGAUUCGGAGCCCAAAAGCAUAUGCUGCUCUUGGUGUUGAGGGACUUGAAUUAAAAGGCUUAAGUGUUUGUAUCCCCACUCCACCCUGCACCCCCACCUCAAUUCUGCUUAACUUGUACAGAGGUGAUAUAGAGAAAUAUGGUGUGCAGCCUUCUGAGUUGACACAACCCCCAUCUAACUAAAAACAACUAUUCAGAGACAGAAAGCACCAUCGCAGCCAUGGGCAUUUGUAGCUGCAGUUCAGUGCAUGUAAGUGACAAGGAAAAGGGACUUGGGCAUGUUGGUUGUGCUUUUUUCCCCUACUUAUACCAUUUUGUCAAGUGUGUAUGUCUUCUUUUAAAGUAUGUAGAUACUUCUUUUUUCCAAUCAUUUGGAACUUUCUAGAAAGGAAACCAUAUUGAGACCUGUUUUGACUAGUGAACUUUUGGGUUGUUUUUAGGUGGUCACUAGUAUGGCCAGUGUUGCUGUGAAUUUCCUCCUGGGUGUCUCUUUAUGAGUAAGUGCAAGAAUGUAUUGAGUUUUGGGCUGGGCUGGAAUAAGUGGGUCCUAAAAUAGGAACUUUUGAAGACAAUGCCAAAAUGGUUUUUCCAAAGUGAUUUUACUAAUCCAUAAGCAGUAUGUAAGAGAUCUAGUCAUUUACUUCCCUGCUCCAAUGUUCUGAUUCAUGUAAACUAAAUGAGUAGGCCAUCAUAUUUCACUAGGGACUGUUGAGUAGGUCACUAAGUUCCUCCCAGGCCAAUCAGAUAUGUUUCCUCAUAUGGAAAAUGUUUGCUCAUGUCUUGGUCCAUUUUUUCUAUUUUCUUAGCUAUGCUUCUUUAUUCAUCUGUAGGCAUUCUUUAACCAUCUUUUGUUGUGUUCAUGCACUUUGUAAAUAUCUCCUCUUAGUAACUUUCCUCAGUGUCUUUGAGUGAACAGAGAUGUUUUCUAAUUUUUUAAAUAUUUAUUUCUUUAUUUUAUUUGAUAAGACAUAGAAGGAUUGAGAG